Molecule: ribosomal RNA, 422 nt
Filed under: Georissa gomantonensis
Lineage: Eukaryota; Metazoa; Mollusca; Gastropoda; Cycloneritida; Hydrocenidae
Description: partial 16S ribosomal RNA
Rfam family: Bacterial large subunit ribosomal RNA
Source: RNAcentral
UGCCCACUGAAUUUUUUAACGGCCGCAGUACCCUGACUGUGCAAAGGUAGCAUAAUCACUUGUCUUCUAAUUAAAGACUAGAAUGAACGGCUUAAUGCGAAGAUUGCUGUCUCGUUAACAUCCUUAAAAACUAUUUUAUUGGUCAAAAAACCAAUAUACUGUAAAAAGACGAGAAGACCCUACUGAGCUUAAUUUUUACUUUUAAUACUUUUAAACAAACCAAUUUGGUUGGGGCGACAAAGGAAUUCUACAAACUUCCUUUUUAAUUACCAUAUUAUAAUUAAAUUGACCCAUUACUAAUGAUCAAAAACUAAAGUUACCAUAGGGAUAACAGCAUAAUUCUUUUUAAGAGCUCUUAUCGAAAAAAGAGUUUGUGACCUCGAUGUUGGACUAAGAAAUAACAAAGACGCAAUAGUUUUUGU